Molecule: non-coding RNA, 27 nt
Filed under: Mus musculus (house mouse)
Lineage: Eukaryota; Metazoa; Chordata; Mammalia; Rodentia; Muridae
Source: RNAcentral
ACACAUGGCUUUUAUCUCAGGCCAUCA